Molecule: transfer RNA, 74 nt
Filed under: Charybdis feriata
Lineage: Eukaryota; Metazoa; Arthropoda; Malacostraca; Decapoda; Portunidae
Description: tRNA-Val
Source: RNAcentral
CAAAGUAGAGCUAGAUCUAGUUUAGCGUCUCACUUACGUUGAGAAGAGUUAUUGUGCAAUUCAGUAUGCUUUGA